CAGCAGCGUCCUCCCAGUCGAUGGUUGGCAGUCCUAAGCUAGUGUUAGCAUUGAUGUAGUGAAGUACGUAUUAUUUUUCUCUUCUUUCCAACAAGGCGGCCUGAGUGUCGUGAUGAAGACCAGGUGACAGGAUGGUUUGCCAGGGUAAUGCACACAACGCUGCUCUGAUUCCAGCUUAUGCGACUGAACUGUUCUUCCAUAUGUGAAAAUAUACCAGAGUGAUAUAUUGGAAAAACAAAUGUGGUGCAGAAAGACUACUAGGUUAACUGACAUGAAAUUCUGAAAAAGAGGGAACAAAGGUACGUACAUGUUGAGACGCCUAUGUCACAAGUAUCUCAGGAAAUGAUGGAAGAGAGCAAGGGUGUCAGGAUUGGUGACAGCCCAAACUGUUACUGUCCUCCACAGCUCUGUGUGUGGCAGUUAUCAUGCCGCCACUGCCACUUCAACUGCCGCUGUGGCACAUGUCAUUGCUACCACUACCAAUAUCAGCGCCGCAACCACAACCACCACUACCAACAUCAAUAGCAACAACAAUAAUAACAGCAUCCACUUUCAUCCAAACGAGCUAAGGGGACACGCCUUAGGGCUGCACUCUGUACCUUGACGGAGCACGUGCGGCGUGUGGAGAGGCCACAGCUGACGUAGAUGAAAUGUGAGACGUAUAAUUUUCAAGAAGCAUCUGCUUGUGAGAGAAGGAAGAUGAAAGACGAAGGAAAUGUAUGUGUAAUAUUUAUUUACUUAUUAGUUAUUUCUAUUUGUCUAAUUGAUUUCCUUAUGUAAAUAUGUGCAUGUAAAUGUGAGUAUAUCUCUUGUUAAAUCCUUAGCUUGUUUGUAAUUCUAAUUAUAAUUGUAAUUGCAUCAUUCACAAGCCGAUUUCCUUCAGUUUACUCCUCCACAGCAAAGUCGAUGCAAACACUUCUUUGAUCGCUGAAAGAAAUAUAGUGCAUUCUUCAUCCAGCAAUACUGUGAAAUCUAUACAAAAAGCGUGACAGUUGCUGAAAAAAAGG
Molecule: unclassified non-coding RNA, 1007 nt
Filed under: Portunus trituberculatus (swimming crab)
Lineage: Eukaryota; Metazoa; Arthropoda; Malacostraca; Decapoda; Portunidae
Description: neuromedin-U receptor 2-like, transcript variant X8
Source: RNAcentral